GGCCCCGCACAAGCAGCGGAGCGUGUGGUUUAAUUCGAUGUUACACGAAGAACCUUACCAGGGUUUGACAUGCAAGUGGUAGGAAACUGAAAAGGGACCGACCCUUCGGGGAGCUUGCACAGGUGCUGCAUGGCUGUCGUCAGCUCGUGUCGUGAGAUGUUCGGUUAAGUCCGCUAACGAGCGCAACCCUCGCUGUGUGUUACAAGUGUCACACGGUACUGCCGGUCUUAAGCCGGAGGAAGGUGGGGAUGACGUCAAGUCAGCAUGGCCUUUAUAUCCUGGGCUACACACACGCUACAAUGGCCAACACAAUAGGUUGCUAAAUCGCGAGAUGGAGCCAAUCCAAUAAAGUUGGUCUCAGUUCAGAUUGUAGGCUGCAACUCGCCUGCAUGAAGAUGGAGUUGCUAGUAAACGCAGGUCAGCUAUACUGCGUUGAAUACGUUCCCGGGGCUU
This 453-nucleotide ribosomal RNA is filed under the name uncultured bacterium. RNAcentral's name for it is "bacterial SSU rRNA". It matches the Rfam family "Bacterial small subunit ribosomal RNA", at positions 917 to 1382 of the family's 1533-position model. The record is from RNAcentral.